CCAGACUCCUACGGGAGGCAGCAGUGAGGAAGAAUGGUCAAUGGAAGGAAGGCUGAACAAGACAAGCCGCGUGAAGGACGAAGGUGCCAAGAAUUGUAAAAUUCUUUUGUCAAGGGAAAAAAUCAGGCUAGAGAGCCUGACCGAGGGUACUUGAAGAAAAAGCAUCGGCUAACUCCGUGCCAGCAGCCGCGGUAAUACGGAGGAUGCGAGCGUUAUCCGGAUUUAUUGGGUUUAAAGGGUGCGUAGGCGGACUGGAAAGUCAGCGGUAAAAUGAGGAGGCUCAACCUCGUGCCGCCGUUGAAACUGUCGGUCUUGAGUGGGCGAGAAGUAUGCGGAAUGCGUGGUGUAGCGGUGAAAUGCAUAGAUAUCACGCGGAACUCCGAUUGCGAAGGCAGCAUACCGGCGCCCAACUGACGCUGAAGCACGAAAGCGUGGGUAUCGAACAGGAUUAGAUACCCGGGUAAA
RNAcentral lists this ribosomal RNA (465 nucleotides) under uncultured bacterium. RNAcentral describes it as "partial 16S ribosomal RNA". It matches the Rfam family "Bacterial small subunit ribosomal RNA", at positions 331 to 794 of the family's 1533-position model. The record is from RNAcentral.